CAUCUUGGUCAAUUAGAGGAAGUAAAAGUCGUAACAAGGUUUCCGUAGGUGAACCUGCGGAAGGAUCAUUAGUGAAAAUUGCUAUUUUCAUCGGCCUAUCUAUACCCCAUUGUUUAUAUACCAUGUUGCUUCCACUGAACAGGCCAACUCUGUUCAAGCCUCAGACGGCGAUAUAUCAUGUAUUUUGCAUGGAUUUCUGGGAUAAGCUGUUGUUUUUAUGCAGCUAUCUGUAACGUCUGGAUCAUUUGGAAAAGUUGUUUUUUGAGCAACCUUCCAUAAUGAGGCGGCCCUCUGGCUAUGGCUAGGGAGUGUCAGUGGCAAGCCAAAACCAAAACCUAAACCUGAACUUUGUUAUCAAGUCUGAAUCUUUAUAAUUUUUAUAAAACUUUCAACAACGGAUCUCUAGGCUCUUGCAUCGAUGAAGAACGCAGCAAAAUGCGAUACGUAAUGCGAAUUGCAGAUUCUCGUGAGUCAUUGAAUUUUUGAACGCAUAUUGCGCCUUAUGGUAUUCCAUAGGGCAUGCCUGUCUGAGCGUCAGCUCCCCCCCUCUCAAGCAUUUUGCUUGGAUUACUUUGGAAAAGCUGUUUAUUUUCAAGUAGCCUUCCACAAAGACAUAGGCAGUAUGGAUGUUUCCAGGCUGAACGUAAUAAUUAAAUCUGUCGCGUUUGUCUUGAAGCUCUUGUACUCGCCUUUAACCCACUCAUUUUAUUUUGGGUGACCUCAGAUCAGGUAGGGAUACCCGCUGAACUUAAGCAUAUCAAUA
This 763-nucleotide ribosomal RNA is filed under the name Malvipezia emileia. Its description in RNAcentral is "eukaryotic LSU rRNA". The stretch from base 384 to 537 matches the Rfam family "5.8S ribosomal RNA". The record is from RNAcentral. Lineage: Eukaryota; Fungi; Ascomycota; Pezizomycetes; Pezizales; Pezizaceae.